Long non-coding RNA from Mytilus trossulus (common blue mussel), 707 nucleotides. RefSeq lists it as uncharacterized. NCBI's taxonomy places the organism in Eukaryota, Metazoa, Mollusca, Bivalvia, Mytilida, Mytilidae. The record is from RefSeq and is a predicted model, not a curated record. The transcript has 6 exons.
UUAACGUAUUAAAUUGAAUCAUUAAAAGGGUCAACGAUGAAGUCAGUAAUUCUCACCAUAACCGUUCUUUUUGGGAUUGUUAUUUGUACUAGUCAUUGAAGUGAAAAGUAAAAGAUGUCACAAGAGACCAACUGUUGAAGAAUGUCCAGACCCAUUACCCAUAACCUGUGGCAAGAACUGGAACAUAACUGCUAUCACGAAAGAUAAAUUCGUUGGUGCCACGGGAGUAUUGAACUGUUCAGCUGGUUAUUCUUUAUCAGGGAAUUCCAGUAUAAUUUGUUUACAGUCUGGUGUAUGGAGUCCGAUAACAGCUGCUAUAUGUGUUCCUGGUGAUCUCCUCCGACCUACUUAUGUACUUGAUUUCAGGGGUUCGACAUACACAUUUGUUUUUAGAACCAAGACGUAUAAACACGCCAAGGAGUAUUGCCUUUCUAUGUGUGGGACUCUGGUGGAAAUUAACGACAAAGAAGAAAACCAGUUCAUUUAUUCAUUUAUUCAAGAACGUUCUGCAAAGCGUUCCCGAUUUUAUAUUGGACUAGAGUCAAAGAAUGGCAUUUAUUAUGAGUGGCAAUCUAAAAAUACCACAGAAUCAAACGGGUUUAACGAUUGGAACAAGGGAAAGCCAAAUGACAUUGGAGUUAACACUUGUGCUUUUGUGUUAGAUUUUACGUGGUAUGACUUAUAUAGCAGCGCUUGCAGGCUUGAUG